UGUUCUAAAGCUGUUGCUGAACUGCAAAUGAGCCUUGCUUCCUACUUUGGCGUUACAGGACUUGCACCUCCAUCUAACACGCAUGUCUACGACCCAUGAACUUUGGAAAUAGCGGCUACGAAUUGUGCUUUAUGUACUUUUAUUUACAUGGGAAAAUAACUGCAACUUUUACAAUUUGUCGUUUUAAGUGUGUUUUAUUUUUACGAUAUCGCUAACUCCCAUUUACAUUACCUUUUGUUCCACAAUUAGACUAACAAAGCAGUAGACGUCGACAAAAAGUAGUUUCAGUUUCGUUUUUGAGAAGAAAUUGGGAGGACAAGCAGUUGCUACGGCUAGCGACUUGGAUUAUUUUAUCGAUAACAACAUCAGUAUACAGUAUGGACAGAACAGCGAUGCUUACCAGUAAACUUAAAGUCGUUUUCUUGUUAAAUGUUUUGGCAUCAUCGAUUCUAGCAGCAGGUGAUGAAGUAUAUGGAAAGGAUGGAGGAGAAAUCACAUUAACCCCAGGCCCAUUCACUGGCUCACUCAACCGCAUCGUUUGGAAACAUGGGGGUGACAAAGCAAUCGAGUGGGAGGGCGGGCAAACUGAUGCUUAUCGUGAGUUCAAAGGUUCCACAUCUCUGGACACAAAAACAGGAGAAAUGACGAUCACAAAAUUAGAUCCAAGGUUUAAUGGAGUUUAUUCAUCCGAUGUAAAUGGCAAUCGAGCUACAAAAAAAUGGAAGCUGACGGUACUCGAUCCUGUUUCCAAACCAAUCAUUGUUGAGAACUGCAAUGAAUCCAUGUGCGUAUUGUCCUGUGAGAAUAAGGCCACCGUUAAAGUUCAGUAUGCUUGGAGAAAGGGUGAAGAAGAAUUGCAGAAGUACGAUAGAACCUUGGUACUUGAGAAGUCUGAUGACACGGUUGGAAAAGCUUACAUAUGUAACUGCAGAAACCCUGUGAGCUUUGCUGUGAGUGACCCAGUCGUCCCAUUUCCCCGAGGUGAUGAAGUAUAUGGAAAGCAUGGAGGAGAAAUCACAUUAACCCCAGGCCCAUUCACUGGCUCACUCAAACGCAUCGUUUGGAAACAUGGGGAUGACAAAGCAAUCGAGUGGGAGGGCGGGCAAACUGACGCUUAUCGCCAGUUCAAAGGUUCCACAUCUCUGAACGAAACAACAGGAGAAAUGAGGAUCACAAAUUUAGAUUCAAGGUUUAAUGGAGUUUAUUCAUCCGAUGUAAAUGGCAUUCAAGCUACAAAAAAAUGGAAGCUGACGGUACUCGGUGAUGAAGUAUAUGGAAAGCAUGGAGGAGAAAUCACAUUAACCCCAGACCCAUUCUCUGGCCCACUCGAACGCAUCGUUUGGAAACGUGGGGGUGACAAAGCAAUCGAGUGGGAGGGCGGGCUACCUGAAGCUUAUCGCCAGUUCAAAGGUUCCACAUUUCUGGACACAGAAACAGGAGAAAUGACGAUCACAAAAUUAGAUUCAACAUUUAAUGGAGUUUAUUCAUCCGAUGUAAAUGGCAUUCAAGCUACAAAAAAAUGGAAGCUGACGGUACUCGGUGAUGAAGUAGGCCUAUAUGGAAAGCAUGGAGGAGAAAUCACAUUAACCCCAGGCCCAUUCACUGGCUCACUCAAACGCAUCGUUUGGAAACAUGGGGAUGACAAAGCAAUCGAGUGGGAGGGCGGGCAAACUGACGCUUAUCACCAGUUCAAAGGUUCCACAUCUCUGAACGAAACAACAGGAGAAAUGAGGAUCACAAAUUUAGAUUCAAGGUUUAAUGGAGUUUAUUCAUCCGAUGUAAAUGGCGUUCAAGCUACAAUAAAAUGGAAGCUGACGGUACUCGGUGAUGAACUGUAUGGAAAGAAAGGAGGAGAAAUCACAUUAUCCCCCGGCUCGUUGUCUGCCUCACUCACCCGCAUCGUUUGGAAACAUGGGGAUGACAAAGCAAUCGAGUGGGAGGGCGGGCAAACUGACGCUUAUCGCCAGUUCAGAAAUUCCACAACUGUGAACGAAAAAACAGGAGAAAUGAGGAUCACAAAAUUAAAUUCAACGUUUAAUGGAGUUUAUUCAUCCGAUGUAAAUGGCAUUCAAGCUACAAAAAGAUGGACGCUGACGGUACUCGAUCCUGUUUCCAAACCAAGAAUUGUUGAGAACUGCAAUGAAUCCACGUGCGUAUUGUCCUGUAAGAAUGAUGCCACCGUUAAAGUUCAGUGUGCUUGGAGAAAGGGUGAAGAAGAAUUGCUGCAGUCCGAUGGAACCUUGAAACUUGAGAAGACUGAUGACAAGGUUGGAAAAGCUUACAUAUGUAACUGCAGCAACCCUGUGAGCUUUGCUCUGAGUGACCCAGUCGUUCCAUUUCGCCCAGUACCUCCAGUUGGACUUAUUCUUGGUUUGCUAUUUCUCAUCAUCAUCAUCAUCGCCAUCGGGGUAAUUGCAUUCAAGAAAAGAAAACAACUGAUGAAAUCCGUGAGGACUCGCUGUGGGACAAGAGGAAAUGCUGCUGCUAAAGAAGGUGGAGCUAAUGAUACAUCACAAAGUAAGUCCUGUUUUUACUCAUAUAUUUAGAACGAGGAACCACAGUGUCAUCCUGCUCUAUUCAAGUAGUAAAUGACUGACAUUGUUAGCCUGUAGCGGUAGCAAGUAAAAAGAAUUGUCUGAAUGCUGUUCAUUUCACCAUACAUAGACUUCCCUUUCAAGAUAACUUGCACCUCAAACACUAUUAUCUGUUUGUUACUUUUCUACCUGUCAAAGGAUUAGUUAAUAUUAAACCUUUUUGAAACCAUUUUGAUAUUCCACAUCGAUCGCAAGGCUAGUUCUACUCUACAUGCACUAUGCGUAUCAGAAAGGACCAGCCAGGCUGCAGGACUCAACACUUACUGUACGACAGGGCAGCCUGUACACAUCAUGUGUGUUGCUUUUGUCAGAUGAAGUGAUGGUGCAUCUCCUGCUGCCUUCGCCCCAGAAGCUUUGGCUUUUUCAUGUGCUCAUAAAUGGCUCUCCCGUAAAUCACAAUGACACGUUUAAGAACUGGACUUAUCGCAAGGGGAAAAAUUGCCAUGAACAAAUUCAUUUUUUGGAUGGAAUAAAAAUGAACAAAUCUGGGGUGGUGGUCUGUAUAUUCUGAAAAUGACUGUUUCUAACAAAUAUGGUUUUACUGUUCCUGAAACCCUGGAUAAUACCAUUGAUGACAAAGCUGAGCCAAUCUAUGUUCCUACUAAUGGUGACAAGCCUGCCAACAGCACGUAACGGAUGUAAAUCCUCAUUUUACCUCAUAUACUGCAGCGAACAAGUUUGUGUCAUCCAGCACUACUGAAAUAGUAAACGACUGAAAUUGUUAGUAUGCAGUGGUAGUAAGAAUAAUUUCAAGCCUGAAGCGUGAAUGCUGUUUAUUUCACCAGACAUACAGUAAUUAUUGUACCCUUCCCAAAUAACUUAGGUUAUGCAUCACCCAUCAAACACUGCAUUUAUUACUUCCUUUCCCCUGCAGUACAACUUCUCAUCUCCCAUCUGAGGAACACAUUCUUAGUGCUUGUGCUCAAUGUUUGCAAAGACCAAAUUAGUGUUUUAUUGCUGCAUUUCAAAAAUAAGUUGUGUGUAAUGACUAUAAAAAGUUGUUCUUCCCCAGCAGGAGCCACUGGAAAGCUGUUGAAGGCCACAAAUAUCGCCAGAUAUGCUUCAGUCCAGCUGCUCGACUGGAGCUCAACAGCCUUCACCUAAGAUUAAAGACUCUCAGGAUGUCGUCAUGGAUUAAAAUGUCUGUCUACUCGUGUUGUGUUAAAUGUGCUAAAUAGAUCAAGCUAUGUAUUCUCGCUCUCCUCGUUCGUUGCACAUUUUUAAUUUUUUAAUUUUUAAAGACACCUGGGUAAAGAUUCCUUCUGUACCGGAAUGUACCAGUGUUCCCUGGAAUGGGCGCCAGUCUGUUACUCGUUUCAGUUUUAUCGUGUUGGUUGAAACCUGCAGAAUAUGCGACACGGCAGGAUGAAGGAAAGGUGGGGUAGAAGGACCGCACGCGCUCACGGUCAAACAAAACGGCAGCUCUGAGCAGUGGCACAGGCUCUCUCCUGCCGACCUCUCCUGUCUGUGAAGGCAUAAAUAGGUAUUGUUAAACCAAGACACCGAUCACAGGUCUUUUCUGAAUGUAACUGCGGAGUACCUUACCGUAGAUCCGUGUUUUAAACAAAGGGCCUGGAAUACGAGUGCAAUACACUUCUGUUUAGGAUGUACGCUGAUUUGAGGUUUUGCAGUCCAAUUCAGCACUCUUUAAAAGAGUGCAUGGAAAUAAGAUGCUGUGAUUGGCAGUCUCUAAGUAAUUUGUACAUAACUUGUCAAUCAUUAGACUAGGGUAUAUACAGUAAGGCUUCCAUCGGCACAUAACAGCAUUCCACUGAUGGUGUGCCAGCCAGCUGGUGCUUCUGUGUAUUUUCACUUUAUUCAGAAGGGGAAAAAGCAGAGAGCGCUCUACUAGAACUGGAAACACAAUGUAGGAAGUGGCAGAGCACUGGAAAUCAAGGCUCUGGCAGUAUGGGUGGAGGGUAGAGAGCCAGCUGCCCUGCUCAGAGCACCACACAGGCUUUUAGCUUCAACUGUUGCUAAAAAUGUUGAGCGUGGUUCUUUCCUGAAUGUGGCACCUUCAUACGUGUCCAAAAUGACACCUAUUUUUGC
Molecule: RNA transcript, 4643 nt
Organism: Anguilla rostrata (American eel)
Lineage: Eukaryota; Metazoa; Chordata; Actinopteri; Anguilliformes; Anguillidae
Exons: 12
Source: RefSeq, a predicted model, not a curated record